Molecule: ribosomal RNA, 791 nt
Filed under: uncultured bacterium
Lineage: Bacteria
Description: bacterial SSU rRNA
Rfam family: Bacterial small subunit ribosomal RNA
Source: RNAcentral
AGAGUUUGAUCAUGGCUCAGAUUGAACGCUGGCGGCAUGCCUUACACAUGCAAGUCGAACGGCAGCACGGACUUCGGUCGGGUGGCGAGUGGCGAACGGGUGAGUAAUACAUCGGAACGUGUCCUGGAGUGGGGGAUAGCCCGGCGAAAGCCGGAUUAAUACCGCAUACGCUCUGAGGUGGAAAGCGGGGGAUCUUCGGACCUCGCGCUCAAGGGGCGGCCGAUGGCAGAUUAGCUAGUUGGUGGGGUAAAGGCCUACCAAGGCGACGAUCUGUAGCUGGUCUGAGAGGACGACCAGCCACACUGGGACUGAGACACGGCCCAGACUCCUACGGGAGGCAGCAGUGGGGAAUUUUGGACAAUGGGCGCAAGCCUGAUCCAGCAAUGCCGCGUGUGUGAAGAAGGCCUUCGGGUUGUAAAGCACUUUUGUCCGGAAAGAAAACCUCUGCCCUAAUACGGCGGGGGGAUGACGGUACCGGAAGAAUAAGCACCGGCUAACUACGUGCCAGCAGCCGCGGUAAUACGUAGGGUGCAAGCGUUAAUCGGAAUUACUGGGCGUAAAGCGUGCGCAGGCGGUCCGUUAAGACAGAUGUGAAAUCCCCGGGCUUAACCUGGGAACUGCAUUUGUGACUGGCGGACUCGAGUAUGGCAGAGGGGGGUAGAAUUCCACGUAGCAGUGAAAUGCGUAGAGAUGUGGAGGAAUACCGAUGGCGAAGGCAGCCCCCUGGGCCAAUACUGACGCUCAUGCACGAAAGCGUGGGGAGCAAACAGGAUUAGAUACCCUAGUAGUCC